GCUUGGGUACGCCAAUUGGCAGAGCGGCCAGCCUUAAAAGUUGGUGGCUGUGGGUUCGAAUCCCUCCCCAAGCAUCA
This 77-nucleotide transfer RNA is filed under the name Mycobacterium sp. 1423905.2. RNAcentral describes it as "tRNA-Leu". It matches the Rfam family "tRNA". From Rfam's summary of the family: Transfer RNA (tRNA) molecules are approximately 80 nucleotides in length. Lineage: Bacteria; Bacillati; Actinomycetota; Actinomycetes; Mycobacteriales; Mycobacteriaceae. The record is from RNAcentral.